GCCGGCACCUGACUCAACCACCCUGGACAACAUGGAGGGCACUUCUGACUCAACCACCCUGGACAACGUAAACAGCAGCAACACUCAACCAAGACAUGAUUCCCAGCAGAACACAGCACUUCAAGUGAUUACGUCUCAAGCUUCUUCAAACGGCUCCAAAGGAAAGCAAGCUGGGAAGACGAGAAGCAAGUGGACAGGUGAUGAAGUCAAGGCUGUUGAGCGGCA
Long non-coding RNA from Myripristis murdjan (pinecone soldierfish), 225 nucleotides. RefSeq lists it as uncharacterized. NCBI's taxonomy places the organism in Eukaryota, Metazoa, Chordata, Actinopteri, Holocentriformes, Holocentridae. The record is from RefSeq and is a predicted model, not a curated record. The transcript is spliced from 3 exons.